GCGAGGUAGCUCAGUUGGUAGAGCUCCGGAAUCAUAAUCCGUUGGUCGUGGGUUCGAGUCCCUCCCUCGCC
This 71-nucleotide transfer RNA is filed under the name bovine gut metagenome. It matches the Rfam family "tRNA". Rfam says of the family: Transfer RNA (tRNA) molecules are approximately 80 nucleotides in length. Their secondary structure includes four short double-helical elements and three loops (D, anti-codon, and T loops). The record is from RNAcentral.